UUUGUGACUGUGUGUUGAACCUGUGUGUGCUGUGUAGGGAGAGUGUUUGCUAACACAGAAGACUCGGCCUGUUUGCUGGGCAUGCGGCGUCGUGCGUUGGUCUUCCAGCCUGUGGUUCAGCUCAGAGAUGAGACUGACUUUGUUCACAGAAUCCCUAAGGAACAGUGGUGGCUGAAGUUACGUCCACUCAUGAAGAUCUUGGCCAAGUACAAGACCAGCUACGACAUAUCAGACUCUGGACAGCUGGAACAUGUGGUCCUCAACCGCCCCAAAGAGUCUGAGGCCAUGGCUGCCAUUUAAACAUCCAAAAAGCGGCAGUGUUUAAAGGUCACGCUUUAGACGGGCCGUCUGUCCUGUGAGCGCUGUCCUCGACACUUUUAUUCUCUGGGCUGCACCACUUUGUUCUGUCAACGCUUUGUUUGAAAAAU
Long non-coding RNA from Sinocyclocheilus grahami, 428 nucleotides. RefSeq lists it as uncharacterized. Lineage: Eukaryota; Metazoa; Chordata; Actinopteri; Cypriniformes; Cyprinidae. The transcript has 2 exons. The record is from RefSeq and is a predicted model, not a curated record.